GCAUUGGUGGUUCAGUGGUAGAAUUCUAGCAUGCCAUGUUGGAGGCCUGGGUUCGAUUCCCAGCCAAUGCA
This 71-nucleotide transfer RNA is filed under the name Ameiurus melas (black bullhead). It matches the Rfam family "tRNA". Rfam says of the family: Transfer RNA (tRNA) molecules are approximately 80 nucleotides in length. Their secondary structure includes four short double-helical elements and three loops (D, anti-codon, and T loops). The record is from Rfam by way of RNAcentral. Lineage: Eukaryota; Metazoa; Chordata; Actinopteri; Siluriformes; Ictaluridae.